Molecule: long non-coding RNA, 1692 nt
Filed under: Marmota monax (woodchuck)
Lineage: Eukaryota; Metazoa; Chordata; Mammalia; Rodentia; Sciuridae
Source: RNAcentral
UCGGGGGAGUUGGGAGUAAUCAACUCUCAUUUCUCCACCCACUUCCAGACCCCAGAGGAGACAGACAUUGAUGGCUGCUGAGAGCGGAGCCUUUAAUGAAAGAUUAGUUGCAGGCCUGGACUGCUACUCUUGCGCCCUUGGUGUGUAUUGAAGGAGGUGGGCAAUGGUGAGAAUGUGGACAGGGAUAAGUGGGGUGAGGUGAAAGCAGGUGAAGGGGCGGGCCCGGCAGGGGGAGGGGAAGGGCGCUGCCCACUGGGCUGUCUGCUCAACUGUUCUCCCAGAAGAAGUUGUUACAGGCCACUGUGAGAGCAGCCACCAGCACCACAUACUCCUGGAAGUCCACCUCCCCGUCUCCAUUCUCAUCGAGCUCCUUCAUCACCUUGUCCACAGCAUCUGCAUCCUUCUGGGCCUGUGGAGGAAGAAGAGGGAGAGGAGGUGUGCAUCACUGAGUCGGGGCAGGAGGUGGUCGAGGAGAGCAAGGCAGACGUGAGCAAGAGGUCAGACAGCCUCUAAUCAUGGGACCUUCUGCUUUCCACCCAAGAAGGCUCAUGGGCUCCUGUUGCCUUCAGAAGAAACGCCUUAACUGGAAGAGUUAAUGAUAACGUCAAUCACCAUAAGCUAAUUGUCUACAGUGUGACAAGCACUACACUAGGAGCCUUCCAGGCACUGUCUAGUUUAAUUCUAAUACAAGCAGUAUGGGGCUCUUUUUAUUAAUUCCAUUCUGAAGAAGAAACAUGGAUGAUUUUUGUUAAGUAAAUGUGCCCAAAGUCACACAAAAAGCGGCAGGGCUGACAUUAGGUGUGGUGAUGCACACCUGUCAUCCCAGCAGCUCAGGAGACUGAGGAUCCCAAGUUUGAGGCCAGCCUCAGCAAUUUAACAAGGCCCCUAUACAACUUAGUGAGACCCUGUCUCAAAAAGUAAAAAGGGGGGCUGGGGAUGUGGCUCAAGCGGUAGCGCGCUCGCCUGGCAUGCGUGCGGCCCGGGUUCCAUCCUCAGCACCACAUACAAAGAUGUUGUGUCCGCCGAUAACUGAAAAAUAAAUAUUAAAAUUCUCUCUUUAAAAAAAAAAAAAGUAAAACGGGCUGGGGAUGUGGCUCAGUGAUUGAAUGCUCCUGAGUUCAAUCCUCAGUACCAAAAAGAAAAAGAAAAAAGGUGGCAGGGCUGGUCUUAGUGACACAUGCCCAUAAUCCCAGUGACUCAGGAGGCUGAGGCACGAGGAUCCCAAGUUUGAGGCCAGCCUCAGCAGCUUAGUGAGACCCUGUCCUAAAAAAUAAAAAGGGCUGGGAGCGUUAACUCAGUGAUAAAGCACCGUUGGGUUCAAUGCCCAAUACUGACGCGGGGGAAGAAAAAGGAAGUAGUAGGACCAAAAUUUGAAUGCAGAGCUGCCCGGUCUGCCAUAUCUGAGUGGCUUCUUCACUGUGUGCCCCCUGUUAACGUUUGCAGCCUGCUUCUCCACACUCUCCAGUCAAAUGGAACUGCUGGGCGUGCUCCACAUUGUCUUCUAUGCUUGUGUUCAUGCAGACACCCCCUAAAAUGUCUUCAUUGACCCCAGUCAUCUUCCAGUGGAAGCCCCUGGCUCAACUGCCACUCUUCAAGGAACCGUCUUACUUCAGUCUGGCCACUAAUCUCCCACUAACCCUUUCUGGCACCUUUGUUAAGGCUCUGUGUACUUCCUGGAGUUCGGGGUUUCCC